RNAcentral lists this transfer-messenger RNA (297 nucleotides) under Candidatus Pelagibacterales bacterium. It matches the Rfam family "Alphaproteobacteria transfer-messenger RNA". From Rfam's summary of the family: Bacterial tmRNA, also known as 10Sa RNA or SsrA, is named for its dual tRNA and mRNA-like properties. Its role is to liberate the mRNA from a stalled ribosome. The record is from RNAcentral. Lineage: Bacteria; Pseudomonadati; Pseudomonadota; Alphaproteobacteria; Candidatus Pelagibacterales.
CUUCUUUAAAAAGAAGCUUUUAUAAAUUAUAUUAAUUUUGUUGGGGAUAUCCUCAACUACGACGAUAAACGAUUUACGUAAUAACCAUUACGGACCCGGGGGCGGUACCCGGCACCUCCACCAAAUUGCGGGGGUGAAAUAGGAUCGACGGAUGCCCAAAGGUAAAUUCUUUCGUUCGGUAUUGUACCACCGUUAUCGGGCUAAAUUACAAAUGCUAACGAUGAUUUAGCGCUCGCUGCUUAAGUUUACUUAGGCAAGCGCGGUUUGGGAGGCACCGGGCAACAGAAGUCUCCCACU